AAAGAGUGCGUAAUAGCUCACUAGUCGAGAGGUCCUGCGCCGAAAAUGUCCGGGGCUAAAACUUACCACCGAAGCUACGGGCUUGCGUAAGCAAGCGGUAGGGGAGCGUCGUAAUCGGGCUGAAGUCGUACCGUAAGGAGCGGUGGACUGAUUACGAGUGAGAAUGUUGGCAUUAGUAGCGAGAUGUAGGUGAGAAUCCUACAGGCCGAAUAUCUAAGGUUUCCUCAGGAAGGCUCGUCCGCUGAGGGUUAGUCGGGACCUAAGCCGAGGCCGAAAGGCGUAGGCGAUGGACAACAGGUUGAUAUUCCUGUACCACUACCAUCGUUAUUAUCGAGGGUGUGACGGAGAAGGAUAGUGUGUGCUAGCGAUUGGAAAUGCUAGUCUAAGCGUUUAGGGAGUUACGGUAGGCAAAUCCGCUGUAACAAUUCUGAGGCGUGAUGGGGAAGGCCAUAUAGGCCGAAGUACAUGAUUCCAUGCUUCCAAGAAAAGCAUCUAGAGAGAGAAGUAGUGCCCGUACCGCAAACCGACACAGGUAGAUGAGGAGAGAAUCCUAAGGCCGGCGGAAGAAUUGCAGUUAAGGAACUAGGCAAAUUGACCCCGUAAGUUAGCGAGAAGGGGUGCCUGCGAGAGCAGGCCGCAGAGAAUAGGCCCAAGCAACUGUUUAGCAAAAACACAGGUCUCUGCUAAAGCGUAAGCUGAUGUAUAGGGGCUGACGCCUGCCCGGUGCUGGAAGGUUAAGGGGAACACUUAGCGCAAGCGAAGGUGUGAACUUAAGCCCCAGUAAACGGCGGCCGGAACUAUAACGGGCCUAAGGUAGCGAAAUUCCUUGUCAGGUAAGUUCUGACCCGCACGAAUGGCGUAAUGACUUGGGCACUGUCUCAACUGCAAAUCCGGCGAAGUUGUAGUGCGAGUGAAGAUGCUCGCUACCCGCGAUUGGACGGAAAGACCCCGUAGAGCUUUACUGUAGCUUAGCAUUGAAUUCCGGUAUUGUCUGUACAGGAUAGGUGGGAGACUGGGAAACUAGGGCGUCAGCCUUAGUGGAGUCGUCCUUGGGAUACCACCCUGACAGUACUGGGGUUCUAACAGGACGCCAUGAAUCUGGUGACUGGACAAUGUUAGGUGGACAGUUUGACU
Molecule: ribosomal RNA, 1134 nt
Filed under: human gut metagenome
Description: bacterial LSU rRNA
Rfam family: Bacterial large subunit ribosomal RNA
Source: RNAcentral